This 440-nucleotide ribosomal RNA is filed under the name uncultured bacterium. RNAcentral's name for it is "bacterial SSU rRNA". It matches the Rfam family "Bacterial small subunit ribosomal RNA", at positions 339 to 796 of the family's 1533-position model. The record is from RNAcentral.
CUACGGGAGGCAGCAGUGGGGAAUAUUGGACAAUGGGCGCAAGCCUGAUCCAGCAAUGCCGCGUGGGUGAAGAAGGUCUUCGGAUUGUAAAGCCCUUUCGGCGGGGACGAUGAUGACGGUACCCGCAGAGGAAGCCCCGGCUAACUUCGUGCCAGCAGCCGCGGUAAUACGAAGGGGGCUAGCGUUGCUCGGAAUUACUGGGCGUAAAGGGCGCGUAGGCGGCGCUGCAAGUCAGGCGUGAAAUUCCUGGGCUUAACCUGGGGGCUGCGCUUGAGACUGUGGUGCUAGAGGUCAGAAGAGGCUCGUGGAAUUCCCAGUGUAGAGGUGAAAUUCGUAGAUAUUGGGAAGAACACCGGUGGCGAAGGCGGCGAGCUGGUCUGAUACUGACGCUGAGGCGCGACAGCGUGGGGAGCGAACAGGAUUAGAAACCCGUGUAGUCC